GAAGAUUUUCACUAUUCCUGUGAUCAUUUCUAACUCUCAGUGUUCGUUGAUAAAAGUUGACAAAAAAAAAAGCUUAAACAGUUACAACCCAUCAAGUGCUGCUACCCAAAGGGGUAGGUCCUUUCUCCUCAUAGAGUUGGACUGGUUGAGAUCAGUUUCUGCCUCUCUAGAAGUUUUAUACAGAAGACCUGCUGCCCUCAGCUGUGCCGUCAUCUUGCCAUCCAGGAUGUCAUGGCAUCACAGAUCAUGGAGACCUCUGCUGUGACCAGGUGUUCCAUUCCCACCCACCACCUGCUGCUCUUCAGGCAAGCCGCUGUGGACGAAUAGGCAGACUCAGACUUUUAAUAUAAAAAGGCA
This 357-nucleotide long non-coding RNA is filed under the name Fukomys damarensis (Damara mole-rat). RNAcentral describes it as "lncRNA (ENSFDAG00000029396.1)". Lineage: Eukaryota; Metazoa; Chordata; Mammalia; Rodentia; Bathyergidae. The record is from RNAcentral.